This 366-nucleotide ribosomal RNA is filed under the name uncultured eukaryote. RNAcentral describes it as "partial 18S ribosomal RNA". It matches the Rfam family "Eukaryotic small subunit ribosomal RNA", at positions 592 to 976 of the family's 1831-position model. The record is from RNAcentral.
CAAUAGCGUAUAUUAACGUUGUUGCAGUUAAAAAGCUCGUAGUUGGAUUUCUGGAGGGAGCGUCGGCCCGUAUUUACGAGUGCGUGACGUCUCUGUCCAUCCUUGCGGGAAGGCACGGCAUUGAUUUGUUGUGUCGGAUCGCAUCAUUUACUGUGAAAAAAUUAGAGCGUUCAAAGCAGGCUUUCGCUUGAAUACAUUAGCAUGGAAUAAUAAGAUAGGACUUUGGUGCUAUUUUGUUGGUUGAGCCUAAAGUAAUGAUUAAUAGGGAUAGUUGGGGGCACCUGUAUUGCGUUGUCAGAGGUGAAAUUCUUGGAUUUACGCAAGACAAACAGCUGCGAAAGCGUCUGCCAAGGAUGUUUUCAUUAA